GCGGCAACAGCUCAAAUUUGAAAUCUGGCUUCGGCCCGAGUUGUAAUUUGCAGAGGAAGCUUUAGGCGCGGCACCUUCUGAGUCCCCUGGAACGGGGCGCCAUAGAGGGUGAGAGCCCCGUAUAGUUGGAUGCCUAGCCUGUGUAAAGCUCCUUCGACGAGUCGAGUAGUUUGGGAAUGCUGCUCAAAAUGGGAGGUAAAUUUCUUCUAAAGCUAAAUACCGGCCAGAGACCGAUAGCGCACAAGUAGAGUGAUCGAAAGAUGAAAAGCACUUUGAAAAGAGGGUUAAAUAGCACGUGAAAUUGUUGAAAGGGAAGCGCUUGUGACCAGACUUGCGCCGGGCGGAUCAUCCGGUGUUCUCACCGGUGCACUCCGCCCGGCUCAGGCCAGCAUCGGUUCUCGCGGGGGGAUAAAGGUCCUGGGAACGUAGCUCCUCCGGGAGUGUUAUAGCCCGGGGCGUAAUGCCCUCGCGGGGACCGAGGUUCGCGCAUCUGCAAGGAUGCUGGCGUAAUGGUCAUCAGCGACCCGUCUUGAAACACGGACCAAGGAGUCAAGGUUUUGCGCGAGUGUUUGGGUGUAAAACCCGCACGCGUAAUGAAAGUGAACGUAGGUGAGAGCUUCGGCGCAUCAUCGACCGAUCCUGAUGUUUUCGGAUGGAUUUGAGUAGGAGCGUUAAGCCUUGGACCCGAAAGAUGGUGAACUAUGCUUGGAUAGGGUGAAGCCAGAGGAAACUCUGGUGGAGGCUCGCAGCGGUUCUGACGUGCAAAUCGAUCGUCAAAUCUGAGCAUGGGGGCGAAAGACUAAUCGAACCAUCUAGUAGCUGGUUACCGCCGAAGUUUCCCUCAGGAUAGCAGUGUUGUCUUCAGUUUUAUGAGGUAAAGCGAAUGAUUAGGGACUCGGGGGCGCUUUUUAGCCUUCAUCCAUUCUCAAACUUUAAAUAUGUAAGAAGCCCUUGUUACUUAAUUGAACGUGGGCAUUCGAAUGUACCAACACUAGUGGGCCAUUUUUGGUAAGCAGAACUGGCGAUGCGGGAUGAACCGAACGCGGGGUUAAGGUGCCGGAGUGGACGCUCAUCAGACACCACAAAAGGCGUUAGUACAUCUUGACAGCAGGACGGUGGCCAUGGAAGUCGGAAUCCGCUAAGGACUGUGUAACAACUCACCUGCCGAAUGUACUAGCCCUGAAAAUGGAUGGCGCUCAAGCGUCCCACCCAUACCCCGCCCUCAGGGUAGAAACGAUGCCCUGAGGAGUAGGCGGCCGUGGAG
Molecule: ribosomal RNA, 1264 nt
Filed under: fungal sp.
Lineage: Eukaryota; Fungi
Description: eukaryotic LSU rRNA
Rfam family: Eukaryotic large subunit ribosomal RNA
Source: RNAcentral